UCUGAAAAUGCCUCCACGGGCGCACUCAAG
This 30-nucleotide non-coding RNA is filed under the name Rattus norvegicus (Norway rat). Lineage: Eukaryota; Metazoa; Chordata; Mammalia; Rodentia; Muridae. The record is from RNAcentral.